CUUACAACAUCAACGCCAGGGAAUUAGCAGCCUAGCUUAAAACCCAAAGGACUUGACGGUGUCCCAUCCAACUAGAGGAGCCUGUUCUAUAAUCGAUAAUCCCCGAUUUACCCAACCCUAUUUUGUUACUCAGCCUGUAUACCUCCGUCGUAAGCUUACCAUAUGAAUGUUUACAGUAAGUCUAAUGGUCCAACACCAGUACGUCAGGUCAAGGUGCAGCUUAUAAUAGGGAAAGAAAUGGGCUACAGUUUCUAACCUAGAACACACGAAAUGCUUUAUGAAACACGACCACGAAGGUGGAUUUAGCAGUAAAAAAG
This 317-nucleotide ribosomal RNA is filed under the name Limnonectes leytensis (Leyte wart frog). RNAcentral's name for it is "partial 12S ribosomal RNA". It matches the Rfam family "Bacterial small subunit ribosomal RNA", at positions 857 to 1346 of the family's 1533-position model. Lineage: Eukaryota; Metazoa; Chordata; Amphibia; Anura; Dicroglossidae. The record is from RNAcentral.